Non-coding RNA from Parelaphostrongylus tenuis, 76 nucleotides. Lineage: Eukaryota; Metazoa; Nematoda; Chromadorea; Rhabditida; Metastrongylidae. The record is from the annotation of a GenBank genome assembly.
UGCUGCCGGUGUGUAGUGGUAGCACGCGUCCCCAGUAUGGAUGGAAAGCGGGUUCGACUCCCGCCCGAGGUGGCAU